CCUACGGGGGGCAGCAGUGGGGAAUAUUGCACAAUGGGGGAAACCCUGAUGCAGCGACGCCGCGUGAGUGAAGAAGUAUUUCGGUAUGUAAAGCUCUAUCAGCAGGGAAGAAGAAGGACGGUACCUGAGUAAGAAGCCCCGGCUAACUACGUGCCAGCAGCCGCGGUAAUACGUAGGGGGCAAGCGUUAUCCGGAUUUACUGGGUGUAAAGGGAGCGUAGACGGCGAAGAAAGUCUGAAGUGAAAGCCCGCGGCUCAACCGCGGAAUGGCUUUGGAAACUUUUUUGCUGGAGUACCGGAGAGGUA
This 305-nucleotide ribosomal RNA is filed under the name uncultured bacterium. RNAcentral's name for it is "bacterial SSU rRNA". It matches the Rfam family "Bacterial small subunit ribosomal RNA", at positions 338 to 659 of the family's 1533-position model. The record is from RNAcentral.